UACGGGGGGGGUAAGCGUUGUUCGGAAUUACUGGGCGUAAAGGGCUCGUAGGCGGCCAACUAAGUCGGAUGUGAAAUCCCCAGGCUCAACCUGGGAACUGCAUCCGAUACUGGAUGGCUUGAAUUCGGGAGAGGGAUGCAGAAUUCCAGGUGUAGCGGUGAAAUGCGUAGAUAUCUGGAGGAAUACCGGUGGCGAAGGCGGCAUCCUGGACCGACAUUGACGCUGAGGAGCGAAAGCCAGGGGAGCAAACGGG
RNAcentral lists this ribosomal RNA (253 nucleotides) under uncultured bacterium. RNAcentral's name for it is "partial 16S ribosomal RNA". It matches the Rfam family "Bacterial small subunit ribosomal RNA", at positions 524 to 776 of the family's 1533-position model. The record is from RNAcentral.